This is a non-coding RNA of Tritrichomonas musculus, 74 nucleotides long. NCBI's taxonomy places the organism in Eukaryota, Parabasalia, Tritrichomonadida, Tritrichomonadidae. The record is from the annotation of a GenBank genome assembly.
GCCUCUGUAGUUUAGUAGGUUAGAACAACGGACUUUUAAUCCGGAAGUCGCGGGUUCAAUUCCCGUCGGGGGUA